AAUUAUUGGGCGUAAAGAGCUCGUAGGCGGUUUGUCGCGUCUGCUGUGAAAGCCCGGGGCUUAACCCCGUGGUGUGCAGUGGGUACGGGCAGACUAGAGUGCAGUAGGGGAGACUGGAAUUCCUGGUGUAGCGGUGAAAUGCGCAGAUAUCAGGAGGAACACCGAUGGCGAAGGCAGGUCUCUGGGCUGUUACUGACGCUGAGGAGCGAAAGCAUGGGGAGCGAACAGGAUUAGAUACCCUGGUAGUCCAUGCCGUAAACGUUGGGCACUAGGUGUGGGGGACAUUCCACGUUUUCCGCGCCGUAGCUAACGCAUUAAGUGCCCCGCCUGGGGAGUACGGCCGCAAGGCUAAAACUCAAAGGAAUUGACGGGGGCCCGCACAAGCGGCGGAGCAUGCGGAUUAAUUCGAUGCAACGCGAAGAACCUUACCAAGGCUUGACAUACAUCAGAUCGGCUCAGAGAUGGGUUUUCUCCUUUUGGGGUUGGUGUACAGGUGGUGCAUGGUUGUCGUCAGCUCGUGUCGUGAGAUGUUGGGUUAAGUCCCGCAACGAGCGCAACCCUCGUUCUAUGUUGCCAGCACGUGAUGGUGGGGACUCAUAGGAGACUGCCGGGGUCAACUCGGAGGAAGGUGGGGAUGACGUCAAAUCAUCAUGCCCCUUAUGUCUUGGGCUUCACGCAUGCUACAAUGGCCGGUACAAUGGGUUGCGAUACCGUGAGGUGGAGCUAAUCCCAAAAAGCUGGUCUCAGUUCGGAUCGUGGUCUGCAACUCGACCACGUGAAGUCGGAGUCGCUAGUAAUCGCAGAUCAGCAACGCUGCGGUGAAUACGUUCCCGGGCCUUGUACACACCGCCCGUCAAGUCACGAAAGUUGGUAACACCCGAAGCCGGUGGCCUAACCCUUGUGGGGGGGAGCCGUCGAAGGUGGGACUGGCGAUUGGACUAAGU
RNAcentral lists this ribosomal RNA (944 nucleotides) under Kocuria carniphila. RNAcentral describes it as "bacterial SSU rRNA". It matches the Rfam family "Bacterial small subunit ribosomal RNA", at positions 549 to 1486 of the family's 1533-position model. The record is from RNAcentral. Lineage: Bacteria; Bacillati; Actinomycetota; Actinomycetes; Micrococcales; Micrococcaceae.